AUUGAACGCUGGCGGCAGGCUUAACACAUGCAAGUCGAACGAUGAAACUCUAGCUUGCUAGAGAAGAUUAGUGGCGGACGGGUGAGUAACAUUUAGGAAUCUGCCUAGUAGUGGGGGAUAGCUCGGGGAAACUCGAAUUAAUACCGCAUACGACCUACGGGUGAAAGGGGGCGCAAGCUCUUGCUAUUAGAUGAGCCUAAAUCAGAUUAGCUAGUUGGUGGGGUAAAGGCCCACCAAGGCGACGAUCUGUAACUGGUCUGAGAGGAUGAUCAGUCACACCGGAACUGAGACACGGUCCGGACUCCUACGGGAGGCAGCAGUGGGGAAUAUUGGACAAUGGGGGCAACCCUGAUCCAGCCAUGCCGCGUGUGUGAAGAAGGCCUUUUGGUUGUAAAGCACUUUAAGCAGGGAGGAGAGGCUAAUGGUUAAUACCCAUUAGAUUAGACGUUACCUGCAGAAUAAGCACCGGCUAACUCUGUGCCAGCAGCCGCGGUAAUACAGAGGGUGCGAGCGUUAAUCGGAAUUACUGGGCGUAAAGCGAGUGUAGGUGGCUCAUUAAGUCACAUGUGAAAUCCCCGGGCUUAACCUGGGAACUGCAUGUGAUACUGGUGGUGCUAGAAUAUGUGAGAGGGAAGUAGAAUUCCAGGUGUAGCGGUGAAAUGCGUAGAGAUCUGGAGGAAUACCGAUGGCGAAGGCAGCUUCCUGGCAUAAUAUUGACACUGAGAUUCGAAAGCGUGGGUAGCAAACAGGAUUAGAUACCCUGGUAGUCCACGCCGUAAACGAUGUCUACUAGCCGUUGGGGUCCUUGAGACUUUAGUGGCGCAGUUAACGCGAUAAGUAGACCGCCUGGGGAGUACGGCCGCAAGGUUAAAACUCAAAUGAAUUGACGGGGGCCCGCACAAGCGGUGGAGCAUGUGGUUCAAUUCGAUGCAACGCGAAGAACCUUACCUGGUCUUGACAUAGUGAGAAUCCUGCAGAGAUGCGGGAGUGCCUUCGGGAAUUCACAUACAGGUGCUGCAUGGCUGUCGUCAGCUCGUGUCGUGAGAUGUUGGGUUAAGUCCCGCAACGAGCGCAACCCUUUUCCUUACUUGCCAGCGGGUUAAGCCGGGAACUUUAAGGAUACUGCCAGUGACAAACUGGAGGAAGGCGGGGACGACGUCAAGUCAUCAUGGCCCUUACGACCAGGGCUACACACGUGCUACAAUGGUAGGUACAGAGGGUUGCUACACAGCGAUGUGAUGCUAAUCUCAAAAAGCCUAUCGUAGUCCGGAUUGGAGUCUGCAACUCGACUCCAUGAAGUCGGAAUCGCUAGUAAUCGCAGAUCAGAAUGCUGCGGUGAAUACGUUCCCGGGCCU
This 1355-nucleotide ribosomal RNA is filed under the name uncultured bacterium. Its description in RNAcentral is "bacterial SSU rRNA". It matches the Rfam family "Bacterial small subunit ribosomal RNA", at positions 28 to 1381 of the family's 1533-position model. The record is from RNAcentral.